AUUGAACGCUGGCGGCAUGCCUUACACAUGCAAGUCGAACGGCAGCACGGGAGCAAUCCUGGUGGCGAGUGGCGAACGGGUGAGUAAUAUAUCGGAACGUGCCCAGUCGUGGGGGAUAACGCAGCGAAAGAUGUGCUAAUACCGCAUACGCUCUACGGAUGAAAGCGGGGGAUCGCAAGACCUCGCGCGAUGGGAGCGGGCGAUAUCAGAUUAGCUAGUUGGUGGGGUAAAAGCCCACCAAGGCGACGAUCUGUAGCUGGUCUGAGAGGACGACCAGCCACACUGGAACUGAGACACGGUCCAGACUCCUACGGGAGGCAGCAGUGGGGAAUUUUGGACAAUGGGCGCAAGCCUGAUCCAGCAAUGCCGCGUGCAGGAUGAAGGCCUUCGGGUUGUAAACUGCUUUUGUACGGAACGAAACGGCUCUUUCUAAUAAAGAGGGCUAAUGACGGUACCGUAAGAAUAAGCACCGGCUAACUACGUGCCAGCAGCCGCAGUAA
RNAcentral lists this ribosomal RNA (500 nucleotides) under uncultured bacterium. Its description in RNAcentral is "partial 16S ribosomal RNA". It matches the Rfam family "Bacterial small subunit ribosomal RNA", at positions 30 to 523 of the family's 1533-position model. The record is from RNAcentral.